RNAcentral lists this ribosomal RNA (503 nucleotides) under uncultured bacterium. Its description in RNAcentral is "bacterial SSU rRNA". It matches the Rfam family "Bacterial small subunit ribosomal RNA", at positions 28 to 526 of the family's 1533-position model. The record is from RNAcentral.
GACGAACGCUGGCGGCGUGCCUAAUACAUGCAAGUCGAACGAGAAAUUCUUACACCGGAUGCUUGCAUCCACCGUAAGAUUUCGAGUGGCGGACGGGUGAGUAACACGUGAGUAACCUGCCCUUCACUCUGGGAUAAGCGCUGGAAACGGUGUCUAAUACUGGAUAUUUAGGCUCUGCUGCAUGGUGGGGUUUGGAAAGAUUUUUUGGUGGAGGAUGGGCUCGCGGCCUAUCAGUUUGUUGGUGGGGUGAUGGCCUACCAAGACGACGACGGGUAGCCGGCCUGAGAGGGUGACCGGCCACACUGGGACUGAGACACGGCCCAGACUCCUACGGGAGGCAGCAGUGGGGAAUAUUGCACAAUGGGCGAAAGCCUGAUGCAGCGACGCCGCGUGAGGGAUGACGGCCUUCGGGUUGUAAACCUCUUUCAGUAGGGAAGAAGCGAGAGUGACGGUACCUGCAGAAGAAGCGCCGGCUAACUACGUGCCAGCCGCCGCCGUAACAC